Xyrichtys novacula (pearly razorfish) is the source of this 726-nucleotide non-coding RNA. The record is from the annotation of a GenBank genome assembly. Lineage: Eukaryota; Metazoa; Chordata; Actinopteri; Labriformes; Labridae.
UGAGCCUCUCUGUGUGAGGAAGCUUUGCUGCUGCAGACCUGGUGAAGUGUCUCUGCUGCAGUGCUGAAGGUAUUCAUUGUAAUGAUGUGUGUAUUUAUUCAACAUGUUUAGUUUCACAGAUUAUCAACACAAAUGUUUCUGUUUAUUUCCUGUUUUGAACCAGCUACAUUCUCCUACUUCAAGUCACUGUCUGUCCAUCCACGGUGUAGCUAGUGCAGCUAACUAACGGUGAUCCUACAAUCAAUUGUAUUGAUGACAGAGUUAAAGUGAAGGGGAUUUUGUUUGUUUUUUUCAGACCUCUCCUCCUCCUGCCCCUGACUCCAGUGAUGCUGUCAACUCGAACACUGAUAACUGCACACAGCGAUUCUACAACCACAGGUCAAAGGUCAAAACAUUACCUCACUCAAAACCUUCAUUCAGAACUGUACCGGGCUCGGGUUUUGGUUUUGAAAAAAAGUGCCGAGACAGAACACAGUACUCACUUGAGGAACUGACUGAUUUUCUUCAGGACAGGACAACUAUUACUCUUAUAUUGUUUUGAAUCCUGUUUUCUACAUUAAGUGAUCGGUUGUCGAUAUCUGUUAAUAUUUUAAGUUUCCUUUAUGUUUCUUGGACUUUAUUUGUUGUAUUUUAUUUUAGUAUUUUCUUCCCCUUUUACUGUGUAUCUGUCCUUAUUUCAAUAGAUGACCAACACUGAUGAGGGGAAAUAAUACCAGUUACUUCAGU